RNAcentral lists this ribosomal RNA (253 nucleotides) under uncultured bacterium. RNAcentral's name for it is "partial 16S ribosomal RNA". It matches the Rfam family "Bacterial small subunit ribosomal RNA", at positions 524 to 776 of the family's 1533-position model. The record is from RNAcentral.
GACGUAGGGCGCGAGCGUUGUCCGGAUCUAUUGGGCGUAAAGAGCUCGUAGGCGGUCUGUCGCGUCGGAUGUGAAAGCCCGGGGCUUAACCCCGGGUCUGCAUUCGAUACGGGCAGACUAGAGUGUGGUAGGGGAGAUCGGAAUUCCUGGUGUAGCGGUGAAAUGCGCAGAUAUCAGGAGGAACACCGGUGGCGAAGGCGGAUCUCUGGGCCAUUACUGACGCUGAGGAGCGAAAGCGUGGGGAGCGAACAGG